GGCUCGGUAGCUUAGUUGGUAAAGCGCUCGUCUAGCAUACAAGAGUCCUGGGUUCAAAUCCCAGCCGAGCACA
This 73-nucleotide transfer RNA is filed under the name Aedes aegypti (yellow fever mosquito). RNAcentral describes it as "tRNA AAEL028672". It matches the Rfam family "tRNA". Rfam says of the family: Transfer RNA (tRNA) molecules are approximately 80 nucleotides in length. Their secondary structure includes four short double-helical elements and three loops (D, anti-codon, and T loops). Lineage: Eukaryota; Metazoa; Arthropoda; Insecta; Diptera; Culicidae. The record is from RNAcentral.